Molecule: long non-coding RNA, 410 nt
Organism: Lycium ferocissimum
Lineage: Eukaryota; Viridiplantae; Streptophyta; Magnoliopsida; Solanales; Solanaceae
Exons: 2
Source: RefSeq, a predicted model, not a curated record
AGCAGGAAGCUACGAGGAAAGACUAUUUUGAACAGAGCAAGAAGUUAAAGAAUAUGUUCCUGGCGUACGAGAAGGACUCUGCUGACAUGCAAUCUUGACGGUGCUAUGAGCAGAUUCAGAAUCUGAAGUCUGAAGAGCCUGGACUUGAAGAAAAUAAUGAGCAAGUUGAAGCAACUAAAAAUCUUAGAGCACAAUUUGAAGCACAAGCGGAAUCUAUUCUCUAUUUGUUAAGAGUAAUUUUUAAGAUGUUUUUUUUAUACAUGCUUUAACUUUGUUUGCUCUUUUGUUAGGAGACAAAUGUAAUGUCAUACAAUGUAGAUGAGUAUAUUUGUUUUUCAAUAUGAUACUAUAGUUCUUUGUAAUUAACGAUGAAAUCUUAAUGGAAUGAUGAUUGUUUGUAUGUCCUCCAA